Molecule: long non-coding RNA, 1352 nt
Filed under: Olea europaea subsp. europaea
Lineage: Eukaryota; Viridiplantae; Streptophyta; Magnoliopsida; Lamiales; Oleaceae
Source: RNAcentral
CUUAGCUACACAUUUAUUUUAUGUAUCUUAUCUUUCUUCGAAAAAUGAUUUAUAGGCUCUUAGACAAGCCUUGCAUAAGUGUGUUGAUAUCUAUGCAUCAAAUUACGUUCUUUGUGAAUAUGCACUAAUUUUCUCAGUUUCACGUGACUUAUAUAUUGCUUCCGGAUAUACAUGCUAUUCUCCUGCUAUCGAAUUAUGAGAACUAUUACUCGUUCUUUGCAAGUACCAACUCUCUAAGUAAUCAUUUGUUUAUGGGUGAAUUGUAGUCGAUAAAACCUAAAGCACUUGUUCCAUUGUUAAUGAGUUUAGCAAUUAAUUACACAAAUUUACUGUUCAGGCAUACUCCUGCAGAUGCCCCUUCUUUAAUCAUGCGGAUGUCUAUAUAACAUGACACAUAUUCAAUAUAUGUUAUGCCAAUAGAACUCGUGUUUUCCACCCAUGUACAAAGUUGCAUGAUAGCCAUUCUUGUUCAGUGUGUAAUGUAAGAAGUUGCGCAUUUAUACAGCAUUUACAUUAUUUUCGCACUGCAUAUACUGGUCAUGAGUUAGAAAGCAACCUUUUAGUAGCACUAAAAGAAGGCUUGGUCCAUGACAAUUUGCCAUAUUGCACUUGUUACCCUAAGUAAUCUAAUAUGUUGGCACUAAAUAGAUAAUUUACCUUCUCUUUAUGCUUUUUUAGAAAUAUUCCAGUCCAAUUGAUAAUUAGAACAUAAAAGCGAGAACUGCGAUUUAUGGUUGCUCACCUUUUCAUGAAAGGAGAACCACAGUACUGGACUAUAACUGAAACCAGGGCUGUCUUCAUAAUGUUUCUUAUUCUCCCUUCCUUUCCAACUUCUGUUUUCCUCAGCUGCUGGUGCCUGGCUCUAUAUUCUACCUUAAAUCAAUUAUUUCCUCAGAGUGGCAACAAUGCUGCAGUAGAUAUUACUCUUGCAGGAAAUAAUGCACAUUAAUAGCAGCGCUUUCAAAAUAGAAGUUGUUUGUUUUGUUUGUGGUCUUUACUGUAGAUAGCUCUGAGUAUUACUUGUUCUCUCGUCAUUGAUCAGGUAACCAAACUGUAGUUUAGUAAUUAAAUGUUGAUAUUUAGUCCAAGAGAACACGAUUUUACAGCUGACGAGAAGGUUUGGUGCUAUUAUAUGCAGAUGGAGUUGGGCUUGUUGAACCAUUCCAUUUAAAAAUUUAAACUCGUAAAUAUCAUCCAUUAUGCUCCCUCUGCAUACAAAUAGUCAUUUAAAUUCAAAAUGCCUCACGGGGGAUUUUAUAUUAUGGGGUGUAGUGCACCUCGAAUCCAAUUCUUAUGUCGUACUCUGGUACUAUGUUAAACCACAUCAUCUAAACGCUUCAACUAUGAGAAAG